GACGAACCGUGCGAACGUUAUUCGGAAUCACUGGGCUUAAAGGGUGCGUAGGCGGGUUGCCAAGUCUGUGGUGAAAUCCUUCGGCUUAACCGAAGAACUGCCGUGGAUACUGGCGACCUCGAGGGGGAUAGGGGCUUGCGGAACUGUGCGUGGAGCGGUGAAAUGCGUUGAUAUGCACAGGAACUCCGGUGGCGAAGGCGGCGAGCUGGAUCCCUUCUGACGCUGAGGCACGAAAGCUAGGGGAGCGAACGGG
This 253-nucleotide ribosomal RNA is filed under the name uncultured bacterium. Its description in RNAcentral is "partial 16S ribosomal RNA". It matches the Rfam family "Bacterial small subunit ribosomal RNA", at positions 524 to 776 of the family's 1533-position model. The record is from RNAcentral.